RNAcentral lists this transfer RNA (73 nucleotides) under Taenia asiatica. It matches the Rfam family "tRNA". Rfam says of the family: Transfer RNA (tRNA) molecules are approximately 80 nucleotides in length. Their secondary structure includes four short double-helical elements and three loops (D, anti-codon, and T loops). Further hydrogen bonds mediate the characteristic L-shaped molecular structure. tRNAs have two regions of fundamental functional importance: the anti-codon, which is responsible for specific mRNA codon recognition, and the 3' end, to which the tRNAs corresponding amino acid is attached (by aminoacyl-tRNA synthetases). tRNAs cope with the degeneracy of the genetic code in two manners: having more than one tRNA (with a specific anti-codon) for a particular amino acid; and 'wobble' base-pairing, i.e. permitting non-standard base-pairing at the 3rd anti-codon position. The record is from Rfam by way of RNAcentral. Lineage: Eukaryota; Metazoa; Platyhelminthes; Cestoda; Cyclophyllidea; Taeniidae.
GUCCGUGUGGCCUAAUGGACAGGGUGUCUGCCUUUUAAGUAGAAAUGUGUGGGGACGCGUCCCGUCACAGGCG